Molecule: long non-coding RNA, 704 nt
Filed under: Rattus norvegicus (Norway rat)
Lineage: Eukaryota; Metazoa; Chordata; Mammalia; Rodentia; Muridae
Description: long non-coding RNA NONRATT018786
Source: RNAcentral
GAGUUCAAGCUCAAAGCCAGCCUGAAGCCGAGUGGCACAUCUUUAAUCCCAGCACUUGGGAGGCAGAGGCAGUUGGGUUUCUGAGUCUGAGGCCAGCCUGGUCCUCAGAGUGAGUUCUAGGACAGCCAGGGUUACAAGAGUGGAACCCAGUCUCAAACAAAACAAAAAAAAAGCCAUCUUGAGCUACAUGGGAGAGAGUGGAUCAAGGCUUUUGACAUCUUGGCUCUGAGCCCACUGGGUAGGUCUCAGGCAAGUGGCUUCCCCUUUCUGGACCCCAGCCCCAGAAAACAUUUACUGAAGGAGCCUGGCCUUCAGUGUGGGAAUCUGGGAAGUGUCCCACAGGGCUCAGGCCUGAGGAGAGAGAUCAGGAAAACUUUCCUGGAAGAGAGAACAGCGAGUACAGGCCCCUUGGAUAGGGAGAGACCAGAGGGAGGGAGGGGCCCAAGCUCAAGGCAAAGGGUUGAGGAGGGGCUGGCACACUACAUCCUGUUGUGUAGGACCCAGGCCUCAGCAGGGUUUAGGCAGCAAGCUUUCUACUCUUUUGUGCCUUAGGAAGACAUCUCUCUAUCCCACUGUGAUGGUCUGAGGGGCAGAGAUGAGGCCUGCAGCCUAGAAGAAGUGGCUGUGCCUAGUCAUCCAGGUGGGAGGCGGUGUGACCUACAGAGUUCACCAAGGUUUAGGGAUUUAGCAAAUUAAUUCAGACC